RNA transcript from Hyaena hyaena (striped hyena), 2751 nucleotides. It is a transcript of the gene named BAF chromatin remodeling complex subunit BCL7A, with no coding region annotated. Lineage: Eukaryota; Metazoa; Chordata; Mammalia; Carnivora; Hyaenidae. The record is from RefSeq and is a predicted model, not a curated record. The transcript has 7 exons.
UGUGAGUGAGUGAGCGGGCGGGCGGGCGCGAGUGUGGCCGCCGCGGAGCGCGAGCAGGACCCGGCGGGCGCGCUCCCCCAGCCUCUCUCUCCCCGCCAGAACCAUGUCGGGCAGGUCGGUUCGAGCCGAGACCAGGAGCCGCGCCAAAGAUGAUAUCAAGAGGGUCAUGGCGGCUAUCGAGAAAGUGCGCAAAUGGGAGAAGAAGUGGGUGACUGUGGGUGACACAUCCCUGCGAAUCUACAAGUGGGUCCCUGUGACAGAGCCAAAGGUGGAUGAUAAGAACAAGAACAAGAAAAAGGGCAAAGAUGAGAAGUGCGGCUCAGAGGUGACCACUCCGGAGAACAGCUCCUCCCCGGGGAUGAUGGACAUGCACGACGACAACAGCAACCAGAGCUCCAUAGCAGACGCGUCCCCUAUCAAACAGGAGAACAGCAGUAACUCCAGCCCUGCUCCGGAGCCCGCCUCGGCCGCGCCUGUGGAAGGCACUGAAGCCAAGGCGGAUGAGACCCAGGCAGAUGGGAAGGAGCUCCCUGGGGCCGAAGAUGCUUCUGAUGAGCAGAAUUCACAGUCCUCAAUGGAAAACUCGAUGAACAGUUCAGAGAAAGUAGAACGGCAGCCAUCUGGAGACGCGGGUCUAGUUGCAGAGGCGUCCACAAUCUCUCAGGUACCUCGAUCCAGGCCUCAGAGGGGCAGCCAGAUCGGCCGGGAGCCCGUUGGGGUGUCGGGGGAUUUGGAAGGAGCCCCGGCCUCUAAGAAGAUGAAGCUGGAGGCCUCACAACAGAACUCCGAAGAGAUGUAGACACGACACGUUCAGUCCUGCUGUCCACACUUCCCGGGAGACCCAUCUGCAGGCUGAAUUCUAGAACAACUUCCCCCGAGCGAUUCCUCUCGGGGGCAGACAGAACUACUAACUUUCCAAGUUUACCAAGUGCAAAUCCAAGAAAACCCAGAACAGCGUAACUUCUCAGACACUGAAGAACUUUCUGCUGUGAAGCAAAACACUUGAGUCUCGAAGGGACUGUCCUUGGGAAGGCGGAGUUGACAGCGCUCAGGAGUGUCUGCACACUGUCUCCGAAGCCAAGAUUACAUUUGUGUUGCUGCUGUAUUGUUUCGUUACCCCCUCCGCCACCCCCCACUUCUCUAUUUAACGAUAUAAGCUAUAUGUGAGGGUGGUGCCGAUCAGGAAAUCGGUUUUCGUCGGGGCUUUUCACUAUUCAGCCGAUUCCUUCCGCUUUCUUUUUUUGUGCCUUGUGCCCUUGAGGUGACCUCUGGCAUGUUUUCCUGGUUGUUUUGCAUCUCCCUUUGCAAAGUGCCCUCGGUUUUGUCCAGGCAGCCGGUGCCACCGUCCUCAACAUCUCUCUCCUCCCUGACCCGGGACUUCAGCUGGAGCGGAGCAGGCGAGGAGGAGGGGAAACUGAGGCCUCAGAAGAGCGGGACCCUCCUUGGCCACCUGAUUUGCAGGUGCAGGGGGGAGGGGUCGGGCACGCCCUGGGCCCUGCCUGGGUCCUGGGUCCAAGGUCCGAGGCGUCUAUGAUGUCGCUGGGACACUGUCCCCGAGGGCGGGCCACUGGAUGUGCUCUCGCUUCCUCGGGGCGUCUGAGGCCGCUGUUUCCAAGCCCACCGUGGCCCAGAUGGAUACACAGAACCCUUAGGUCGCCCUGGCACUCCCACCCUCCACCCCCACCAUCCCGCUUUCUCCCACACCUCCGAAGACGAAGCGGCUUCUGUGGCAGAACGCAGGACUGCCUCCUUACGACGACGAAAGGGCCGUGGAGGCCCGGCGCACAUGGCAGGAAUAGCUGGUGCUGAACUUUCUCUCCUAGUGUGUUGCCUGGAUUUCAAAUCCACAGUAACCUGCUGCCCUCCGCCUCCCCGGCUCCACUGGGCUCCUCCAACCCCACCCCACCCCCCGCCCGGCGGAGGCGAGAUCACAAAGUGUUCCUGACUCUUCAGAGCCAACAAUAGUCAAUCGCCUCUCGCUCCCAGGAUGCGCUGACGGUCCCCACUGGGGAGCAGACCCUGAGGAUUGGGCCUCAAAGGCCAGAAACCAGGCACCGGGGAGCAGAAAGCUCUACACUCCUCCAGAAAGGGGUAACUGAGUCCCCCUCCCGGGUCUCGUCCUUGCCUCCGCCAGGACAGCUUCCUCUCACUCAAAUGGCGACGCCCCCUGUGGACGAACUGCCUGAUUGCUUGGUUCUGAGGCCUGGUUUGCUCUUAAUUCCUAGAUGGACUCCUCGGACCUUAACCCUUUUCCUGAGCUUUCUUUACUGCACUGGAGUUCAACUUCCUUUGAGUUGUGUGAGGGGGUGGGAGGGUUGGAGGGGGAUAUUUUGUUGUUGUUUUGUGGUUUUUUUGUUUGCGUUUUCGUUUUGCUGAUUGGUGCGUAUAUUCAGGUACCACCUUUGACGUGUGGAUCUCUCUCCUGACCACCGUGGGAAGUGUCUGCCAGAUUCCAGUUCCUAAGUUUCUGAGGCAAAACUCCAUUUUGACGAAAGAUGAAUUUGGAUAUUUAUCUCCUUUCUUUUUUGGGAAAUGAGAGGUUAGAACCAAGACAGCUGAAGAAGAAUCACACGUGCAUCCAAGGAAUGCCACGUCGGCCGGGGUCCCCGGGGCCCCUGCCGCUUGCUGUGGCCUCUCUGGACAGGCAAGGGGAGUCAGCGUGGCUGAGGCUGAAGACAACAUCCACGAUACUGAGGCUGUCAUUAGUUUUUCUCUGAAGUGCCUGAUGAAGGUAGGAAGGGGCCUGUGGCC